This 551-nucleotide ribosomal RNA is filed under the name uncultured bacterium. RNAcentral describes it as "bacterial SSU rRNA". It matches the Rfam family "Bacterial small subunit ribosomal RNA", at positions 746 to 1296 of the family's 1533-position model. The record is from RNAcentral.
CUGAGGCACGAAGGCCAGGGGAGCAAACGGGAUUAGAUACCCCGGUAGUCCUGGCAGUAAACGGUGCGCGUUUGGUGUGGGAGGAUUCGACCCCUUCCGUGCCGGAGCUAACGCGUUAAACGCGCCGCCUGGGGAGUACGGUCGCAAGAUUAAAACUCAAAGAAAUUGACGGGGGCCCGCACAAGCGGUGGAGUAUGUGGCUUAAUUCGAUGCAACGCGAAGAACCUUACCUGGGCUUGACAUGGGAGGGCCGUGUCCAGAGAUGGGCAUUUCCGCAAGGACCCUCUGCACAGGUGCUGCAUGGCUGUCGUCAGCUCGUGUCGUGAGAUGUUGGGUUAAGUCCCGCAACGAGCGCAACCCUCGCCUUCAGUUGCCAUCGGGUUUGGCUGGGCACUCUGAAGGAACUGCCGGUGACAAGCCGGAGGAAGGCGGGGAUGACGUCAAGUCCUCAUGGCCUUUAUGGGCUGGGCUACACACGUGCUACAAUGGCGGUGACAGAGGGCGGCAAGGGAGCGAUCCUGCGCCAAUCUCGAAAAGCCGUCUCAGUUCGG